Molecule: ribosomal RNA, 528 nt
Filed under: uncultured Actinomycetes bacterium
Lineage: Bacteria; Bacillati; Actinomycetota; Actinomycetes
Description: bacterial SSU rRNA
Rfam family: Bacterial small subunit ribosomal RNA
Source: RNAcentral
CGAAAGCCUGACGCAGCGACGCCGCGUGAGGGAGGAAGGCCUUCGGGUUGUAAACCUCUUUCAGGAGGGACGAAGCUACUCGGGUUAAUAGCCCAGAGGGUGACGGUACCUCCAGAAGAAGCCCCGGCUAACUACGUGCCAGCAGCCGCGGUAAUACGUAGGGGGCAAGCGUUGUCCGGAUUUACUGGGCGUAAAGCGCGUGUAGGCGGCCGCACAGGUCCGUUGUGAAAACUGGAGGCUUAACCUCCAGACGUCGACGGAAACCGUGUGGCUAGAGUCCGGAAGAGGAGAGUGGAAUUCCUGGUGUAGCGGUGAAAUGCGCAGAUAUCAGGAAGAACACCAAUGGCGAAGGCAGCUCUCUGGGACGGUACUGACGCUGAGACGCGAAAGCGUGGGGAGCGAACAGGAUUAGAUACCCUGGUAGUCCACGCCGUAAACGAUGGGUGCUAGGUGUGGGAGGUGUCGACUCCUUCCGUGCCGUAGCUAACGCAUUAAGCACCCCGCCUGGGGAGUACGGCCGCAAGGCUA